GACGAACGCUGGCGGCGUGCUUAACACAUGCAAGUCGAACGAGGAGCGAUGGAAGCUUGCUUCUAUCAAUCUUAGUGGCGAACGGGUGAGUAACGCGUAAUCAACCUGCCCUUCAGAGGGGGACAACAGUUGGAAACGACUGCUAAUACCGCAUACGAUCUAAUCUCGGCAUCGAGGAAAGAUGAAAGGUGGCCUCUAUUUAUAAGCUAUCACUGAAGGAGGGGAUUGCGUCUGAUUAGCUAGUUGGAGGGGUAACGGCCCACCAAGGCGAUGAUCAGUAGCCGGUCUGAGAGGAUGAACGGCCACAUUGGGACUGAGACACGGCCCAGACUCCUACGGGAGGCAGCAGUGGGGAAUCUUCCGCAAUGGACGAAAGUCUGACGGAGCAACGCCGCGUGAGUGAUGACGGCCUUCGGGUUGUAAAGCUCUGUUAAUCGGGACGAAAGGCCUUCUUGCGAACAGUUAGAAGGAUUGACGGUACCGGAAUAGAAAGCCACGGCUAACUACGG
RNAcentral lists this ribosomal RNA (509 nucleotides) under uncultured bacterium. RNAcentral describes it as "partial 16S ribosomal RNA". It matches the Rfam family "Bacterial small subunit ribosomal RNA", at positions 28 to 506 of the family's 1533-position model. The record is from RNAcentral.